GACGAACGCUGGCGGCGUGCUUAACACAUGCAAGUCGAACGGAAAGGCCCUGCUUUUGUGGGGUGCUCGAGUGGCGAACGGGUGAGUAACACGUGAGUAACCUGCCCUUGACUUUGGGAUAACUUCAGGAAACUGGGGCUAAUACCGGAUAGGAGCUCCUGCUGCAUGGUGGGGGUUGGAAAGUUUCGGCGGUUGGGGAUGGACUCGCGGCUUAUCAGCUUGUUGGUGGGGUAGUGGCUUACCAAGGCUUUGACGGGUAGCCGGCCUGAGAGGGUGACCGGCCACAUUGGGACUGAGAUACGGCCCAGACUCCUACGGGAGGCAGCAGGGGGGAAUAUUGCACAAUGGGCGGAAGCCUAAGGCAGCAACGCCGCGUGCGGGAUGACGGCCUUCGGGUUGUAAACCGCUUUCGCCUGUGACGAAGCGUGAGUGACGGUAAUGGGUAAAGAAGCACCGGCUAACUACGUG
Molecule: ribosomal RNA, 468 nt
Filed under: uncultured bacterium
Lineage: Bacteria
Description: partial 16S ribosomal RNA
Rfam family: Bacterial small subunit ribosomal RNA
Source: RNAcentral